This 270-nucleotide ribosomal RNA is filed under the name uncultured bacterium. RNAcentral describes it as "partial 16S ribosomal RNA". It matches the Rfam family "Bacterial small subunit ribosomal RNA", at positions 88 to 354 of the family's 1533-position model. The record is from RNAcentral.
CCGGCGACCGGCGCACGGGUGAGUAACACGUAUGAAACCUGCCCGUAGCAGGGGGAUAAGCGGAAGAAAUUCCGUCUAAUACCGCGUAACAACCCAUGGAGGCAUCUCUGUGGGUUUAAAGGAAGCGAUUCCGGCUACGGAUGGUCAUGCGUCGCAUUAGCUUGUUGGCGGGGUAACGGCCCACCAAGGCGACGAUGCGUAGGGGUUCUGAGAGGGAGGUCCCCCACACUGGUACUGAGACACGGACCAGACUCCUACGGAAGGCAGCAG